AAAGAACCUCACCCCCCCCCACUGGUGCAUAAGCCUAUCCACAAGUAUGGCUGUAUGCUGGACCGGUAGUCAGUGAUGGGUAUGAUCCAAUUGCAGUGGUACCAACCUAAGACAGGAGGCUGACGCCUUGAGGUCAGCUCAUCCGAUGAUGGGUAAGAACCAUAUGUGUAUUGGACAACCUAACAGGCACAGUCCCUAAGCCACAUUGCUUGUUGUUUAAUUAAACAGAAGGGGGGAGAUCUUACCAGCCACUGUUACAAUGGAUCAGAGCUGGUGCAGAGAGGAAGGCAGUUGAGUGUCAGAGGAAAAAUAGGAAUUAUAAAAUCCAAGAAAAAAUUUAGAAAUUGGAAGACUAGAAAGAAUUGGAGGAACAAAUCAAGUAAGGACAAGCACAGGUAAGAGUCCCAUAAGACAAUGCAAGAAUAAUUAUAGUCAACUUGUUUCUGUUUAUUUAAUGCUGAUGAAUGAGUGGGAAAAGAUCAACGUCAGAGGAUGGGCUCUGUGGGCUGCUUUGCUUAUAGGCAAUUUGUCUAACUACUCUGAGCCAUAAUUUCCUCACCCUAAAACUAGAUGUAUGGAGCUAUUUCAUGGAGUGA
This 596-nucleotide long non-coding RNA is filed under the name Marmota monax (woodchuck). The record is from RNAcentral. Lineage: Eukaryota; Metazoa; Chordata; Mammalia; Rodentia; Sciuridae.